Long non-coding RNA from Oncorhynchus tshawytscha (Chinook salmon), 529 nucleotides. RefSeq lists it as uncharacterized. Lineage: Eukaryota; Metazoa; Chordata; Actinopteri; Salmoniformes; Salmonidae. The record is from RefSeq and is a predicted model, not a curated record. The transcript has 2 exons.
GAGCUACUGGGUGUAUGGAGGCUGUUGUUCCAGCCAAUCAGCUCAUUCCACAGAGGGCUGAGUGUGUGUGGGUUUUGCCUUCUCCCUCAAUGAAUUUAAGGUCACUAAUUAGUAAGGAACUCUCCUCACCUGGUUGUCCAGGUCUUUAAUUGAAAGGGGAAAAACACCCCUGAUCUACAGGGUGAGCAGGCUUUUGUUCCAGCCCAACACUUAUCACGGUUUGGACUGAAAUAGGUGCUGGAGCUCCACAAUACUGUUAAUUUUCUGUCGAACGCCUGAUGAUAGGUAAUGUUAACUAGUGCUGGGUUGGACCAAAAGCCUGCACCUACCUCUAAAGAGUUGGUGACCAGUGAUGUUUCUCUGUCUGAACUUGGUAAUUACUUCUUUCCCCCAGUUUGCAUGUGUAAAAAAAUAUGUUUUCAGCCAUGUUGAUUUAAAAACCCAACAAUGAACAGUGGGGGUCGGUUGGUGUGAGAGGGAGGCAUGUAAUUCUCGUGAAUUUGUCUCCUAAAUAAAUAAACUACCUUCA